GGCAAGAUGGCCGAGUGGUCUAAGGCGCUAGAUUUAGGUCUUCUAUCUAAACCUCUAGUCUUCGGGCGUGGGUUCGAAUCCCACUCUUGUCA
Molecule: non-coding RNA, 92 nt
Organism: Dendrothele bispora CBS 962.96
Lineage: Eukaryota; Fungi; Basidiomycota; Agaricomycetes; Agaricales
Source: the annotation of a GenBank genome assembly